Non-coding RNA from Python bivittatus (Burmese python), 878 nucleotides. Lineage: Eukaryota; Metazoa; Chordata; Lepidosauria; Squamata; Pythonidae. The record is from RefSeq and is a predicted model, not a curated record.
CGUUCCUGCCGCGGCGCCCGGCGCCCGGCCAAUCUGGGGGAAAAAAAAGAAAGAAAGAAAAAGCAGCCGGGCACGAGCAGCGAAGAGACAGUGGCGCGCGGCGGACUUUCCUUUCGGGACGCCGCUCCGUUUAGCUGCACCGUACCUGAACCGCGAGGAGGGGAGGAAAGGCGUCGCCAGCAAUCACAUGGGCUCUGCUUCUGGUGCCAUUGGAUAGGGCCUGGCCAUUAGCUUCGCUCUGCGUUAAGACAAGCGAGGGAGCGAGAGCGUGAGCGUGAGUGAAAAAAAUGGUGGAGGUUUUCUUUUUCCUUCCUCCAGCAAGGCCUAAGAGGUAAGCUUGGGUCUUCGUCUAGAUUGCCUCGCCCGGUCUUUUCUCGCACUCCCUCGUCCAGCAUUUGAGCCCCGCCUGCACGGUUGUGCACUCACCCGGGGCUCCUGCGAGCUGAGCAAUCCUGUUCGGUAGGCCGGUGCUACUGUCCCUUUGUGGCAUGGAGGAAGGGGCGCUGAGCUUGUGAGAAAGUGAUUUGCCUUGACCGCUUGAAGCACAAAGCUCAGGUUUUGUGGGUGUUCGAAAGUAAGACAUUGUGUUCCGUGCGUCUUGCACUCAGGAGGCCCCCGCGUCUCUGCAGGACUGACCAAAAUGACUGAGUGAUUCUUGGGCUCGCUUCCUUCCCCAGCUUUCCCUGAUCCGCCAGGAAACUGCAGCUUUCAGCCACACUAGGAAAGAAGAGGGUGUAAAGAAGAGCGCGGCUCUGUCAGGUACGGAGGAGACGAAGCGGGAGACUGAAUAGCCAGCGGCCCCGUUUCUGCACGCGAGAGCGGCGGGGCUUCUGCCUGCCGAGUCAUUUAUUUCCCCCUUACUCCAAAGCCGCCUUUCA